AUCUAUUUGGCAGAUUAGUGCAUUAAGUUUAAGCCUUAAUUAUGAACCUC
This 50-nucleotide transfer RNA is filed under the name Plexippus paykullii. RNAcentral's name for it is "Plexippus paykulli tRNA-Leu". The record is from RNAcentral. Lineage: Eukaryota; Metazoa; Arthropoda; Arachnida; Araneae; Salticidae.